GAUUAACGCUGGCGGCGUGCCUAACACAUGCAAGUCGAACGAGGUAGCAAUACCUAGUGGCAGACGGGUGAGUAACGCGUGGUCAACCUACCGUUGAGUGGGGGAUAACUAGCCGAAGGGUUAGCUAAUACCGCAUACGUCUCCGAGUGGCAUCACUUGGCGAUAAAAGGAGCAAUCCGCUCGAUGACGGAACCGCGUCCCAUUAGCUAGAUGGUGGGGUAACGGCCUACCAUGGCACCGAUGGGUAGCUGGUUUUGAGAGAGCGACCAGCCACACUGGGACUGAGAAACGGCCCAGGACUCCUACGGGAGGCAGCAGUGAGGAAUUUUCCGCAAUGGGCGCAAGCCUGACGGAGCGACGCCGCGUGUGGGAAGAAGGCC
This 380-nucleotide ribosomal RNA is filed under the name uncultured bacterium. RNAcentral's name for it is "bacterial SSU rRNA". It matches the Rfam family "Bacterial small subunit ribosomal RNA", at positions 28 to 416 of the family's 1533-position model. The record is from RNAcentral.